RNAcentral lists this small RNA (690 nucleotides) under Malus domestica (apple). Its description in RNAcentral is "sRNA MD05G0140800". Lineage: Eukaryota; Viridiplantae; Streptophyta; Magnoliopsida; Rosales; Rosaceae. The record is from RNAcentral.
GCAGAUAGCAGAAGCCAAACGACUCAGAGACAACGACUCAGAGACAAAUUAGGGUUAGGGUUUUCUCAAUCGUUAGUGCCUAAUCAGCUAAGCAGAGUAAUCGCGACAAUGAUCUACGACGUCAACUCCCCCCUCUUCCGAUCCUUCCUCAGCCAGAAGGGUGGCUCCUCCGACAAAAGGAAGUUGGAAGAGCAGAAGCCGAAGGAGCAUCGACCAAAGGCCAGUGAGAAUAAGCCUGUUAUGAAUGAGUGACAACAGAUUGACAUAUAAGCUAUGAAUUGGUUUAGGACCCUUGGUGUUGUUAACUAGAUGAGUACUAUGUGUUUAAGACAAGAUUAUUGCUACGUAUUGGCUUUUCGGUAACUUCUUAAGCAACCAUUUAUGGUUAUAUGUACUUUUGACCGUUGGAAUUAUGAUUUACACUCAUUUGAGUUGCACACAGAGCAACCCAGAAAGCCAAAUGACCAGAAAACUCAGUAAAACAAGCCAGGAAUGGGAUUCCUGGGCCACCCAUCAAGAAUAAGAAGAAAACAAGCCAUUUGGGUAUAGUGCAAUGAAUUCAUGACACAAUUUUUUUUAAGGGAGACUUUGGAUGCGGUCUUUAGCUAUGAAUAUUUUUUGACUGAAAUUUUGUUGGUUUUUCAAUUUUUGAUCCAAGUUUUUGAAAUUAAUGUGAUAAUUUAUUUCUAU